Molecule: ribosomal RNA, 450 nt
Filed under: uncultured bacterium
Lineage: Bacteria
Description: partial 16S ribosomal RNA
Rfam family: Bacterial small subunit ribosomal RNA
Source: RNAcentral
GUGGGGAAUUUUGGACAAUGGGCGCAAGCCUGAUCCAGCCAUGCCGCGUGCAGGAUGAAGGCCUUCGGGUUGUAAACUGCUUUUAUACGGAACGAAAAGACUCUGGUUAAUACCUGGGGUCCAUGACGGUACCGUAAGAAUAAGCACCGGCUAACUACGUGCCAGCAGCCGCGGUAAUACGUAGGGUGCGAGCGUUAAUCGGAAUUACUGGGCGUAAAGCGUGCGCAGGCGGUUAUAUAAGACAGAUGUGAAAUCCCCGGGCUCAACCUGGGAACUGCAUUUGUGACUGUAUAGCUAGAGUACGGCAGAGGGGGAUGGAAUUCCGCGUGUAGCAGUGAAAUGCGUAGAUAUGCGGAGGAACACCGAUGGCGAAGGCAAUCCCCUGGGCCUGUACUGACGCUCAUGUACGAAAGCGUGGGGAGCAAACAGGAUUAGAUACCCCGGUAGUCC